AGAGUUUGAUCCUGGCUCAGAAUGAACGCUGGCGGCGUGCCUAACACAUGCAAGUCGUACGAGAAAGGGGCUUCGGCCCUGAGUAGAGUGGCGCACGGGUGAGUAACGCGUGGGUAAUCUACCCUUGGAUUUGGGAUAACUCUGCGAAAGUGGAGCUAAUACCGGAUAGUCUGGCUUUUAAUAGAAGUCGGUAAAGGAUGCCUCUGCAUAUGCAUUCGUCCGAGGAUGAGCCCGCGUCUAAUUAGCUAGUUGGUAGGGUAAUGGCCUACCAAGGCAACGAUGAGUAGCUGGUCUGAGAGGAUGAUCAGCCACACUGGAACUGAAACACGGUCCAGACUCCUACGGGAGGCAGCAGUGGGGAAUAUUGCGCAAUGGGCGAAAGCCUGACGCAGCAACGCCGUGUGAGGGAUGAAGGCUUUCGGGUCGUAAACCUCUGUCGGAAGGGAAGAACGGGCAUUGGUCUAAUAGGCCUUUGUUUUGACGGUACCUUUAGAGGAAGCACCGGCUAACUCCGUGCCAGCAGCCGCGGUAAUACGGAGGGUGCAAGCGUUAUUCGGAAUUACUGGGCGUAAAGCGCACGUAGGCCGCUUUGUAAGUCAGGGGUGAAAUCCCACGGCUCAACCGUGGAACUGCCUUUGAAACUGCAGAGCUUGAAUCCUGGAGAGGGUGGCGGAAUUCCUGGUGUAGGAGUGAAAUCCGUAGAUAUCAGGAGGAACACCGGUGGCGAAGGCGGCCACCUGGACAGGCAUUGACGCUGAGGUGCGAAAGUGUGGGGAGCAAACAGGAUUAGAUACCCUGGUAGUCG
RNAcentral lists this ribosomal RNA (805 nucleotides) under uncultured bacterium. Its description in RNAcentral is "bacterial SSU rRNA". It matches the Rfam family "Bacterial small subunit ribosomal RNA", at positions 8 to 796 of the family's 1533-position model. The record is from RNAcentral.